UAUGGGUCGCAGAGACGUGGCCCUUCAGUUCGGCUGGCUCCCACACAGGUGCUGCAUGGCUGUCGUCAGCUCGUGUCGUGAGAUGUUGGGUUAAGUCCCGCAACGAGCGCAACCCUCAUCUUCAGUUGCCAUCGGUACGGCCGGGCACUCUGAAGAAACUGCCGGUGACAAGCCGGAGGAAGGCGGGGAUGACGUCAAGUCCUCAUGGCCCUUACGGGCUGGGCUACACACGUGCUACAAUGGCGGUGACAAUGGGAUGCAAUGGGGCGACCCCGAGCGAAUCCCAAAAAGACCGUCUCAGUUCGGAUUGCACUCUGCAACUCGAGUGCAUGAAGCUGGAAUCGCUAGUAAUCGUGGAUCAGCACGCCACGGUGAAUACGUUCCCGGGCCUUGUACACACCGCCCGUCACACCAUGGGAGUUGGUUUUACCCGAAGCCGGUGCGCUAACCGCAAGGAGGCAGCCGACCACGGUAGGGUCAGCGACUGGGGUGAAGUCGUAACAAGGUAAGCGUAGAUGA
Molecule: ribosomal RNA, 519 nt
Filed under: uncultured bacterium
Lineage: Bacteria
Description: bacterial SSU rRNA
Rfam family: Bacterial small subunit ribosomal RNA
Source: RNAcentral